This 73-nucleotide transfer RNA is filed under the name Ailuropoda melanoleuca (giant panda). RNAcentral's name for it is "tRNA-Lys (CTT) (tRNA-Lys-CTT-11-1)". It matches the Rfam family "tRNA". From Rfam's summary of the family: Transfer RNA (tRNA) molecules are approximately 80 nucleotides in length. The record is from Rfam by way of RNAcentral. Lineage: Eukaryota; Metazoa; Chordata; Mammalia; Carnivora; Ursidae.
GCCUGGCUGGCUCAGUCGGUAGAGCAUGAGACUCUUGAUCUCAGGGUUGUGAGUUUGAGUCCCAUGUUGGGUA